This 6380-nucleotide long non-coding RNA is filed under the name Sus scrofa (pig). RNAcentral describes it as "lncRNA (ENSSSCG00035055267.1)". Lineage: Eukaryota; Metazoa; Chordata; Mammalia; Artiodactyla; Suidae. The record is from RNAcentral.
CUUUUUUUUUUUUUUUUUUUUUUUUUGCCUUGAGCUUUUUCUAUGUUGUACAGAAUUUAUAAUUUGGAACUCGCCCACUGUACUUAACCAAGGUGUCUACAACCUAAUGAAUAAGAACCCAGAGUGAGUUUGGGUGGAGCUCAAAUAUCACAUUUCAGUAUACAGUCUGCUAAAGUGGAAACUUACCAAAUUGCCACUUUAUUCUCCUGUGUGCUGGAAACACACAACUUUGAACUGGAAGACCCACAGUAGACCUGAUUCAAUCAAUUGACUGUUCAUUAUCCAGAGGGUCAGAAUGCAUAGAGGAAGAGGUAAAGAUGUUCCUUUGUGAGCUUCUUGUAUUAGAAAUGAGAAUCACUAAAUAUAUCUGAGCAUAAUUAGAGAUCUUGAGUACACCUAUCUGUCCUUUACCUUUUUUUUUUUUUUUUCUUUUUACAGCCACACCUGUGGCACAUGGAAGUUCCCAGGCCAGUGGUCACAUUGGAGCUGCAGCUGCCGGCCUAUGCGAUAGUCACGGCAACACCAAAUCUGAGCCACAUCCCCAACCCAUGCUGUACUUUGUGGCUACACCAGAUCCUUAACCCACUGAGUGAGGCCAGGGAUUGAACUCGCAUCUUCACAGAUACUGUGUCAGGUUCUUAAUGCACUGAGCCACAACGCCAACUCCCAGGUUUUAUUAAAGAUGAAGAAUUUUACUAGACAAGACAGAUGAGAUUUACAAAAAGAAAGAAAUCUAAGGGUAUAGAAGAAUGUCAAAACCAGUGUAAAGAGGUUGGUGAAAAACAGCAGAGAAGAGGAGGAAAAGAUCACUAUUUGAGCUGCAUUUUUUGUUUUUAUGGCUGCAUUCACAGCACGCGGAAGUUCCUGGGCCAGGGAUUGAACCCGAGCAAUAUUUGAGACCUACACCACAGCUGCGGCAACACCGAAUCCUUUAACUCACUGUGCACCAGGCCAGGGAUCAAACCCGUGUCUCCACGGUGACCUGAGAGGCUGCAAUCGAAUUCUUAACCUUCUGUACCAUAGUGGGAACUGCUAUUUGAGCUGUAUUUUAACCCACUGAACAGAACACUAAAUACGGAUGUCCUGAAGAAAUAACAGCAAUGUGAAUCCAAUAUAGGUUUAAGCACAGUUACAUAUAAAAACGGUUGGGUCCUUUUAACAGCCCCCAUGGAGUGAAGAUGGAUUUUCUCUGUUAGUGAGUCUUUAACGCAGAUAUGGAGGUAGAUACGAUGAUGAUGGCGGUUGUCUUAUUACCGUAUUCAAGAACUAGCCCCCCAAAUUUUCAAACCCUGUGGCUUUAGACGAUUUACAUGGGAACGAAUGUAGCCUAGUCCUUUAAAAUCGCUGCAAGUAAACAGGGUAGAACAAGGACACCCAUUUCGUUUUUCUUUUCUUCUACUUGAGAUCCAUUCUGGCAGUCUCAUUCCUCUCUAAUGCGAUCUCCCCUUUUUCAGUUUAUUCCAUUCAUAUCACCCUGCAUAUUCGUCUACGGCUCUGAUCACAUUCUGUAAUUGCUUUGUGUGUUUAGUUAUUUGCUGCCUGUCUCCAUCAUGGGAGUGUGAGUUCCAUGAAGCUAAGAACCCCAUUAAUCAUGACAUCACUUCAUCCCCAGAACCUACUGCAUGUUUGUUGAGUUAGUACUUUCAAAGUUACAUAUUUGACAUUGUAGACAAGGUUAUUUCAUUGAUCAAUAUUAAACAGUGGUCUAUAGCCAAGAGGAGAGUGCUCUUUAGGAAAUUAGUAUGGAUAUUUUUGGUAGGUAAUAGAGUGAACUUUUUUAAAGCAUCAAAGUGAAAUAUGAAACCAAGAGAAGAGCACAAUCCCAAAUUACACUGAACAACCAUAUACCAUGUAGGACAAAGUUAUAUUAUAAAAAGGAAAAAAAUGUGGGAAAGAUUUCAGUAAUUAUCAGGAGAAAACUGAUGGUCAAGAACAAUACUUACAUAUAUGUUUAUGUUAGACAGGUGCCAAAAAUACAUACACAUACAAUGCUUAUGUCAUGUAUAGAUAGCCAUGUCUCAUUGCAGAGAAGCUAGAUGAUGAAAUAAACUUGGUUUUAAAAUUUAUAUCUUCUCAUAAGUAUACUUUAGACUUUUGUAGUGCUAUUUAUGGCUUCAAUAUAAGAACCAGAAAUACAUAGGUACUGGAAUUUAAACAUAAUUACAUUUAUCUGUACAAAAAUUCAAGAUGUGUGGGGUAGAGCAGGGAUGUGCGUUCACUGCCUUUAGGAAAGUUAACACUGAGAAAGAAAGGAGUAAUAUUUGGGGAAAAUUAAUAUGCUAUAGAUAUUCUGGACACACCAAGAAUAUGAAUAAUUAUAGAAGCAAAACAAAUCUGUGAUUUUAAAAAUAUCAACUAUCUGGACAUCUAAGGGUAAUCUGUUAAAAUCUCGGAAUUUGGGAGGAGCAAGGGGUCUUAUUGAUCUUGAAUUGUUUGUGCAGUUAAGGAAGAAAUGGUGAAUAAUAAGUAAUAGGAAGUUUGGAAGAAAAUUAAGAUAAAGUUUGGAUAAUUCUAAUAAUAAAGAAAUUGAGUAAUCACAAUCAGGUGGGUAUACAGAUGCCAGGCUUUAGGAAAUCAGAUCAAUUGUUAAUACGAGAAAAGCUAUGUUUUAUUUCAUGACAACAAAUUCUAAACUAUCUUGUAUUGAAGAUGGGAAAGUCUUCAAAUAAAGUUUUACAAAAUAUAGAUGAGGAAAAGAAGCAGCCAAUUAAUUAAAAAUUUUCCAAAAUAAGAAAACUGUUGUUAAAUUAAGAUUUAAAGCAUCAGAAAAUUGAUGGCACACGGUCAGAGAGCAGCACCAACGUUAGAGGCUGAAAUUCACUGAACUAGUGGCCACCAUGUAUUGAAGCUUUGAAGAAGAAACUAAAAAGACGAAAAACAAUUUUAUAAAUAAAUGAAUAAACAAAAUAAAAAGAGACGGGAUGAACUUUUCAUAAAGUUGGGGAUGAUAGAGGGAAAAAAAAUAUUAUUAUACGAGGCAUGGUUGCGUCCAUCUUCUCCAUCUAGUGGAAUUAUGUUCAAACUGAAAGGAGUGAAAGAGAUUUUAUGAAGAUUAUUGAGUGAUUAAAACAUGCGAUACCAAAUAAGACAGUGAGUUAGCGUACUCUCCAAAAUUAAUUUAAAGCACUUUUAAUCAGAGGAAUUAAGUUAUAGGGUACUGAGAAAAUACCUUCAUCAGCUGUGAAUGAACAUAAAGCAUUAUCAGGGAGUUCUGGGAAUCCACUGAGCAUAGGAGAUCUGCCAGAUAUCUAAACACUAACACAUGUUGUUCCAGAUUUUCAGACAUGGAAAGGGAGAUUUCAUAUGCUAUUGUUAAAUACACUUAAAUUACGCUUUGGCAAAAUUCUACAAAAGAUUUUUGUGCAGAUGGCUUGUGAACAUUUACAUAAAGACGCAUUUUCUAGGAAUGAGGAUGAAUUGACUUCGAAUGUCAUGGAAAAUCAAAAUAGUUUGCUUUUUGAGGGUAGGUUCCAGAUUGGCAGAUCAGAUGAACCCCAUACAUGUAAAGCCUUUCAAUACAUCGUUACUGAAAUCAUGGAGAAUGCAUUCACAUAGUAAUAGAGUUUGAGGAGACAUAAUAGGUGGCUUACAUGUACUGAAAUAAUGUUUAUCAAGACGUUGGUUUUUAGAGGGUGAUGCUAAAAGGAUAUUUGAAACAUUUGCUCAAUAACUUGAACAAAAUAAUGAAAGUCAGAUUCUUCAAAUUUCCCAUUGGCAUAUCUCGGGAAGAACGGUCAAAUCAAGAUGAAAACAUCCUGAGAGGACCAAAUUAUAGACCGAAAAGAAGAAGCUAAAAUUAAAGAGGAAUGAAUAUAAAACUCUGACUUCAUGCUAAAUAAUUGUACAAUUUCAAUCUGAAAGUUGGAGUUCUUAAUGAAAAAGAAUUGACGUAGAAAGCACUUUAGGAUUUUGAAAGACCUUAAAGUCACUGCACAACCUCCACUUGACACAUAAAAGCUGACCGACGGUCUAUAGCAUCAGCAUCAUGGUUGCUAGAGCUAUGGAGGAAUUGAGUCCAGUGCUUUCUUCAGUACUUUUGAGGUACAUUUUAAGUUGUAAAUGGAAAAUUCAAAUGAUGAAAGAAAUGAUCAGAAUGGGAAAUAGCAGUGAAGUUAUACUAUAAAGGUAAGGCUCAAAGGAAAUUGUAAAGGAAAGACUUGAAGGAAUAUAAAACACACCUUCUAAGGACUGCACUGGGAAUAAGGGAAGGAGGGAAGGAGGGCAGGAGAUAGGACGGAAUGAGUAGAAAGAUUUAUUUUAAAAAGAAGAAGUUGGGAGUUCCUGUCGUGGCUUGGUGGUUAACAAAUCUGACUAGGAACCAUGAGGUUGCGCAUUCAAUCCCUGGCCUCGCUCAGUGGGGAUCAAAUCCGCAUCCUUACAGAUAUUAGUCAGGUUCGUUACCACUGAGCCACAAUGGGAACUCCAGAACUAAUAUUUUAAAUGCCCAUGUUUUCCAAUGAGCUUUGCUAAGUGCUUUUAAAAUAGUUGAUUUAUUUAUUGUAGAAGAAUGGUAUGUUUCCUUUUUGAUACGAGAUGGAGCAGACCCAUUGUUUAGGUGGCAGAACAAAAUACAUUGCAUAUGAAUUAAACAGAAUUAUUCCUGAUACAAGAUGAAGUAGAACUUCAUAAAAAUUAAGCUAUCCAGCAACAACAGGGUGGCCUGCCUUAAAAUCAGAGUUAUCCACAUUUCCUGAACUGUUACAGCAAAUUUGAGGAUUAGGGGGUAUUUGUCAGGGAUGUUCUGAAAACCAUCUGCACAUCUGCAAAUUUCAUAAUGAAGUAACCACAAGAGCACCUCCAACACCAAACAUGAUGACUCUUUAUGUUCAUAACCAGGGAAGAGUCUAAAAACAAAUGUGAGAUUGUUUCCAGUGGCUAACUUCUGAUUGCAUUUGUUAGUGGGAAGAGAAGCCAUGAACAAUAAAAUCUAAGAAUAAACCAAAAACUUUACUAGUUUAUACUUCUCUUUUCUUUUUAGAUCUUAAAGUUUAGAGAAAAAAAUGUUUGGGGGGUUUAAAUGCUCUUCUCUGUAAUAAUGACAUAUUCACAUAGCACUUACUAUGUGCCAGGCAUUGUUCUGAAAAUAUUAAUCACAUUAAUUUUUUGAUCCUCCAAAAAACCCUACAGUUUAGAUAUCAUUAUUAUCCUUUUAUUCUUACAAGUGAAUAAAAUGAUGCACAGAGAGACUGAAUAACUUCCCAGGUCUGGCAGCUAGUCAGUAGAAAAUCCAAUGCAAACGUGAUGGAGGAUAAUGUGAGAAAAAAAUAUAUAUAUAUAUGACUGCAUCACUUUGCUAUACAAUAGAAAUUGACAGAACACUGUAAAUCAACUACAAUGGAAAAAAUAAAAAUCAUACAAAAAAAAGACUUCCUGCACCACUUAUUGAAGGGGCUAUCUUUUUUCCAUCUUACCUCCUUUGUCAUAGAUUAGUUGACUGUAGGUGUAUGGGUUUAAUUCUGGGCUUUCUAUUCUGUUCCACUGAUCUAUAUUUCUGUUUUUGUGCCAGUAUCUAAAUAGAAUUACCAAUUGACCCAGCAAUCCCACUCCGGGGCAUCUAUCCAGGGAAAACUAUGACUGGAAAAGAUACAUGUACUCCAAUGUUCAUUGUAUACUGUACUAUAUACAAUAGCCAACAUAUGGAAAUGACCUAAAUGCCCAUCGACAGGGGAGUAGAUAAAGAAGAUGUGGUACAUAUAUACAAUGGAAUAUUACUCAAGCAUUAAAAGCAAAGAAAUAAUGGCAUUUGCAGUAACAUGGAUGGACCUAGAAAUUAUCAUGCUAAGUGAAGUCAGACAAUGAAACACCAACAUCAAAUGCUAUCACUUACAUGUGGAAUCUAAAAAAAGAUCACAAUGGGAGUUCCUGUCAUGGUACAGUGGAAAUGAAUCUGACUAGGAACCAUGAGGUUGUGGGUUCGAUCCCUCGCCUUGAUCAGUGAGUGGGUUAAGGAUCCAGCAUUGCUGUGAGCCGUGGCGUAGGUGGCAGAUGUGGCUCAGAUCUGGCGUUGCUGUGGCUGUGGCUAGGCCAGCAGCUGUAGCUCUGAUUAGAGCCCUAGCCUAGGAACCUCCAUAUGCCACGGGUGUGGUCCUGAAAAGACAAAAGACAAUAAAUAAAUAAAUAAAUAAAUAAACAAAAUAAGAGAAAAUAAAAUAAAAUAAAAUAAAAAAUAAAAAAGGAACACAAUGAACUUCUUUGCAGAACAGAUACUGACUCACAGACUUUGAAAACUUAUGGUUCCCAAGUGAGACAGGUUGGUAGGUUGGGGGAUGCACUGAGGGUUUGGGAUGGAAAUGCUAUAAAAUUUGGUUGUGAUGAUCAUUGUACAAGUAUAAAUUUAAUAAAAUUCAUUGAGAAAAAAAAAGAAAAAAAGAAAAAGAAAA